Long non-coding RNA from Thalassophryne amazonica, 181 nucleotides. RefSeq lists it as uncharacterized. The record is from RefSeq and is a predicted model, not a curated record. The transcript has 4 exons. Lineage: Eukaryota; Metazoa; Chordata; Actinopteri; Batrachoidiformes; Batrachoididae.
GCUGGAGAGAUCUGAAAAUGGCUGUGCACCAACGCUCCCCAUCCAACCUGAUGGUGCUUGAGAGGUGCUGCAAAGACGAAUGAACAAAACUGCCCAAAGAUAAGUGCACCACGCUUGUGGCUUCAUAUUCAGGAAGACCUGAGGCUACAAUUGCUGCCAGAGGUGCAUCAACAAACUGUUG